Molecule: ribosomal RNA, 525 nt
Filed under: Klebsiella pneumoniae subsp. pneumoniae ST258-K26BO
Lineage: Bacteria; Pseudomonadati; Pseudomonadota; Gammaproteobacteria; Enterobacterales; Enterobacteriaceae
Description: LSU rRNA
Rfam family: Bacterial large subunit ribosomal RNA
Source: RNAcentral
GGUUUUAAAAUGAGCAGCGAGCUGCAGAAAGGCGUAGUCGAUGGGAAACAGGUUAAUAUUCCUGUACUUGGUGUUACUGCGAAGGGGGGACGGAGAAGGCUAUGUUAGCCGGGCGACGGUUGUCCCGGUUUAAGCAUGUAGGCUGGUUAUCCAGGCAAAUCCGGAUAACCAAGGCUGAGGUGUGAUGACGAGGCACUACGGUGCUGAAGUAACAAAUGCCCUGCUUCCAGGAAAAGCCUCUAAGCAUCAGGUAACAUUAAAUCGUACCCCAAACCGACACAGGUGGUCAGGUAGAGAAUACCAAGGCGCUUGAGAGAACUCGGGUGAAGGAACUAGGCAAAAUGGUGCCGUAACUUCGGGAGAAGGCACGCUGGUGUGUAGGUGAAGCCCCUGCGGGUGGAGCUGAGACCAGUCGAAGAUACCAGCUGGCUGCAACUGUUUAUUAAAAACACAGCACUGUGCAAACACGAAAGUGGACGUAUACGGUGUGACGCCUGCCCGGUGCCGGAAGGUUAAUUGAUGGGG